Molecule: unclassified non-coding RNA, 495 nt
Filed under: uncultured Archaeospora
Lineage: Eukaryota; Fungi; Glomeromycota; Glomeromycetes; Archaeosporales; Archaeosporaceae
Description: SSU rRNA
Rfam family: Eukaryotic small subunit ribosomal RNA
Source: RNAcentral
CCAAUAGCGUAUAUUAAAGUUGUUGCAGUUAAAAAGCUCGUAGUUGAAUUUUAGGCCUGACCGGACGGUCCGUCUUUGGCGAGUACUGUUCUGUUGUCGGGUCUAUCCUUCUGGUGAGCCGGUAUGUCCUUUAUUGGGUGUGUCGGGGAACCAGGACCAUUACCUUGAAAAAAUUAGAGUGUUUAAAGCGGGCUUUUGCUUGAAUAGAUUAGCAUGGAAUAAUAGAAUAGGACGUUGGUUCUAUUUUGUUGGUCUAGGACCACCGUAAUGAUUAAUAGGGAUAGUUGUGGGCAUUAGUAUUCAAUUGUCAGAGGUGAAAUUCUUGGAUUUAUUGAAGACUAACUACUGCGAAAGCAUUUGCCAAGGAUGUUUUCAUUAAUCAAGAACGAAAGUUAGGGGAUCGAAGACGAUCAGAUACCGUCGUAGUCUUAACCAUAAACUAUGCCGACUAGGAAUCGGGCGACGUUAUUUUCAUGACUCACUCGGCGCCUUAUG